UUUUUUAAAUAAAAUUAUUCACGACAUAUGAGUGGGCAGACAAUGGAGGUCGACAGACCUGGUGAUAAUUGCUUCUAUAGAAAGUUAGCACAUGGCAGUGUCAAUCUCUUGCUUUUCUUCUGAGUAGUAUUUUAUUUAGUUGUAAUACAAUCAAUAAUUUGCUUCUUGAAAUUAAGUAAUGAAUUUCUUGUUUUACUGUAUAAAUUUCAGAUCCUGCCUUUACCUGCUCCCUCCUAUACUGAUGUGGUGUAUGUGGUACUGCUGAGCUUGUAUGUGAUCUGAACCAUUGUAAAAGUUGCAGUUCAAGGGCCUGAGGUGGAAGCAGAAUUUGUGAGGAUUACUACUGCUCCACUUGUUCCAAGGCUUUUUGCACAACUUGACCAAUACACUGACCAGCUCAUAAAAGUCUUCAAGAAAAAAGGAGGCGCUGCAGUGAAGAAAAUUAGACAAAUUUUGGCCCCAGCCACAAAUGUGCGUUAUUCUGUUGGUAGCAAAAUAUUAUGGCUAAUAAGAUCACUUUCAAAUUUAAACAGCUAGUGUAUGGUAGCUGCACAGUGUACUUACAUUUAUAUUAAGCAAGACAAAGUUUGGUACUCAAAACUUUGGAAAAUUAAAAUUACCUAAACAUAAGUAAAAUCUGAUCCCUCAAUUUCGGGUUAAACCAUAAGUGAAUGUUUUUAUGUUAAAGAUCAGUUUCUGAAUGCAAAAAAGAUGAUGUAUUAGUUUGUCUUUACCUCCAUUAUGGACAUAUAUAAUGUGGUGGAAACCCUGCCCAACAGGUUAACUAUUCAUGUCCAUGUGAUGAUUAGUUGGUCUUGUGUACAUGUCUGUCUCUGCAGUGAAUAUGUCAUUCAUUUUGCGUAUAAUGUGAGUUUGUGUCAUCCUAAAGUAUUUCUGUUUUCUCUUCCUGUAUCUCUGCCACUCUCUACAGAAGGAAACUAUUGAAAAGGGGAGGGAGUGUGUCCUCAGGGCACUACUUUUUUACCUGAAUGAAGACCCAAGCAUCCUCUUCAAAGAAUAAUUGGUUGGUAAUUUUAGUUUAGUUUUUUAUCUGUAUUAAACCAAAUUUUGAAUAACUAAUGUUGUUGCAUGUUGUAGUGUUGUUGUUGUUGUAAUUUGCAUGGAACCUGUUUAAAUGUUUUGGGGAAUCUUCUUGUAUACCCAAACUAUUUAUAUUUAUUGUUGAAUCUGUAGUCUAAAAUAGUGGCGCACUGGGGUGCAUGUUCCUAAUAUUGUGUUUACUUCAUUAAAGGGUAGCUUUGGCUCUUUUUUUUUUUUUCUUUUCUUUUUUUUAAUUUAACUGGACGCCAUUUUUCUUUGUUUUUGUGUCUAAGCUACAGCUACAGCUGUUCAGAGGGAGCUGGAACAAAUUACCCUUGCUAUCUUCACCAUCGAAAAAGCUGAUGCCAGCACUCCUCCAGCCGAUGUGGGUAUAACCAUCUAGGGUGUUCUGCAUGACCUGGAAAACAUGGCCUCUGCAUGUGCACUCUUAAUGGGUGGGAUAUAUGCACUGAAUCUCAGUUAACCUCAAGACUGAAAGCUUUCUUUGAAGUACUUCAGAAGCUCUUCCUUCAUCUGUAUGUCAGCAGACUCUUGACCAAGGUACAGAUGCUCAAGAAUAAACUGAAUGAAUAUGCCAACCAUUAAUUUGGAUGAUGAAUGUUCUGUCAGAUGGACAGAAGUUUUUCAGAGGCUGAAUGGGAAUAAAACGGUAAUUUGUUGAAAAUGACAGAUAAAGGGAAAAUUACAUUUAAGAGAAUGGGGGGGGGGGCUAGUAAGAGACAAUCAAAAGUAUUGAGAUUUAAAGGAUUUAAUUGAGAGAUGAUACUGCACCAGAAAUGUUGAAGGGUGGGGUGUAUAUUAGCGUUCAAGGUAUAUUGUUAUGAGGUGGAAAUAUGUUCAUAUUCUGUUUGUGUUACAUUGUGUGCAUUGUAAAGGUAAUUGCAAUACAUAAUAAGAAUAAGGGUAAGUUAGGAAUGCAGGAUGAAUGUAUAUUUUGCGGACUUUUAAAGACGAACAAUUGUUUCCAUGUUAAAAUGUUUACAACCCAAGUUUUUUGCCCAAACACUGGUAAAAUAAAUGUUGAGGGUGGCAAGUGUUAAAUGGUUACUGCUGUGCUGUUGCAAAAAAACUGAACGCUGACAAGCUGUUUUAUUGUUAGACCAUAAUGCUGGCAUGUUUUAUUAAAGUUUUAUUUGGGAUGGUGAUAUAAUUUUCUGUGACUGCUAAUAUCAGUGGACUAUUUAUUAUUAUUAUUAUUACAACAUUAAUUUUUUUAAUUGUGGCUGUUGAGGUGGACACUUCACUUUGCAUUGUUAAAGGAAACCACUUCAUUGGCGUUGUGUUACUGGACUGACCCUAAGCAAUCAUUGCAAAUAGCAACUUUGCUAUCCAUUUUAGACACUAAA
Oreochromis niloticus (Nile tilapia) is the source of this 2408-nucleotide long non-coding RNA. RefSeq lists it as uncharacterized. Lineage: Eukaryota; Metazoa; Chordata; Actinopteri; Cichliformes; Cichlidae. The record is from RefSeq and is a predicted model, not a curated record. The transcript is spliced from 3 exons.